UGGGGAAUAUUGGACAAUGGAGGAAACUCUGAUCCAGCAAUUCUGUGUGUGUGAAGAAGGUUUUAGGACUGUAAAACACUUUUAGUAGGGAAGAAAAAAAUGACGGUACCUACAGAAGAAGCAACGGCUAAAUACGUGCCAGCAGCCGCGGUAAUACGUAUGUUGCGAGCGUUAUCCGGAAUUAUUGGGCUUAAAGGGCAUCUAGGCGGUAAGACAAGUUGAAGGUGAAAACCUGUGGCUCAACCAUAGGCUUGCCUACAAAACUGUUGAACUAGAGUACUGGAAAGGUGGGUGGAACUACACGAGUAGAGGUGAAAUUCGUAGAUAUGGGUAGGAAUGCCGAUGAUGAAGAUAACUCACUGGACAGAAACUGACGCUGAAGUGCGAAAGCUAGGGGAGCAAACAGG
This 407-nucleotide ribosomal RNA is filed under the name Verrucomicrobiota bacterium. RNAcentral's name for it is "Verrucomicrobia bacterium partial 16S ribosomal RNA". It matches the Rfam family "Bacterial small subunit ribosomal RNA", at positions 355 to 776 of the family's 1533-position model. The record is from RNAcentral. Lineage: Bacteria; Pseudomonadati; Verrucomicrobiota.